Molecule: long non-coding RNA, 1749 nt
Filed under: Macaca fascicularis (crab-eating macaque)
Lineage: Eukaryota; Metazoa; Chordata; Mammalia; Primates; Cercopithecidae
Description: lncRNA (ENSMFAG00000051128.1)
Source: RNAcentral
AGACCCAGGUGCUGCUGGGAGAGGAAUGAGCGUUGUAAAUGGUGAGCGGUGGUUACAGAAGCCUCUGUCCUUCCAUGCCGAGAGAAGUCCCACUGAAAAAUGACUGCAGUGUGCCACAGAUAAAUAAUUGAUGGUUUUGGUUCUGGUGAAGAUGGAAUAAGCACAAUACCCUAUCUCUGCGAUAGCAUGCAGCUCAAACCUUGGAUUGAAUGAAGCGACUGUCUAUGGACUCUGAAAAGUAGAUGAUGGCAGGAACACUGUAGGAGAUUAGAGCCCAAGUAAGAACAAUGCAGCCAUGAAGUUCUUGGAUUUGUUUUUCCUUUGGAAUCCUCUGGCCUGGAUUCAAAACAGCUUGAAACCUGAAAUUGCAUGCUUGAUGUGAAUAGAAUGAAUUCCAAGAGAAGGCUUCUCUUUCUCAUCAUCCUUUCACAAAAUAAUAAAGGAUGACUCAGAGGACAGAAUCAAGAGCCAAGAGCUGGAGCCAAGACCUGGAAGACUUGAAACCUAAUUGAGGAACUUCCAACAUUUUGCCUGGCUGGACUUCAGAACUUUGAUGGAUCAGUGACUCCUUUUUAAUCUUCCAUUUUUCCCCUUUUAAACCAGAAUGUCUACAGUUGUAAUGCUUCGCCUGCCCAACUAUUAUAUUUUGAGUAAGUUUGGGGCAGAUAACUUGUCUCUUUAUUUUCACGGAUCUACACAUGGAAAAGAGGAAUUAUGCCCUAAGAGCUACAUUUAAUAGAUUAGACUCAGGAGCCUCAUCUGUACCACCUUGACUUGAUUUAAAUAAAGAGAUUUUGGAUUUUCAGCUGAUGCUACAAUGGGAUGAAACUCUUGGGGACCUUGGGAAAGGAUGGAUGUAUUUUUUACACAGGAACUAGUAUGAAGCAUUGGAGACAGAGGGUGGACUCUGACAGGCAGACCCUGAGGUGAUCUCUCCAGUGACCCCUGUCUUCUGGUAUGCUCUUAUAUACCUCUCCCCUUAAGUGUGGAUGGGACUUGUGACUUCCUUUUAGCCUAUAGAAUAUGCUAAAGAUGACAAGAUGUCACAGCUGUGAUUGCAUUACAUUGUAUUAGACUCCAUCCUGCUAGCAGACUAAAGAUAUAGAGUCUCCUGCAGCAUUUGGUGAAGUAAGUAGUCAGGUUGACAAAGCUCACAUGACAAAUAGAAGCAGAUGGCCUCUAGGAUCUGAAGGUAGACUCCAGUUGAUUGUUAGCAAAAAGUUAUACAGCUGCAAGAAAAUAAAUUUUGCCAACAACAGGAAUGAACUUAAAAGUAGAUGCUUCCCCAGUCAAGCCUCCAGAUGAGAACACACCCUGACCAGCACUUUGAUUACAACUUUAUGAAGAACUGAGCAGAAGACCCACCUGAAUUGUGUCUGGAUUCCUGACCCAUAGAAACCAUGAGAUCAUAAAUGUACAUCUUGUUUCAGGUCAUUACAUUUAUUGUAAUUUGUUGUGCAGCAAUAGAAAAAUACAUGGAUUGAAAUACAUUAGACAGAAAAAAAGAUUGAAAAACAAAAAAAGGAAUACAGCCUCAAAAACCUGUUAGACAAAGCCAAAAAGUUUAAUAUUUAUGUCAUUGACAUCCCAGAAAAGAAGAGAAAGAUUGUGGUAGAUAAAAAAAUAAUUGUUUUGUAAUAGCAGCUGAAAUUUUCCCAAUAUUAGGAUUCAAAAAACUUGGCAAAUUCAAAUAAAGCCAUGUUCAAUGUAUCACAAUCAAACUGCUGGAAACUAUAGAAAAAAAAAAAA